This 30-nucleotide small RNA is filed under the name Bombyx mori (domestic silkworm). RNAcentral's name for it is "ovarian small RNA-13202". Lineage: Eukaryota; Metazoa; Arthropoda; Insecta; Lepidoptera; Bombycidae. The record is from RNAcentral.
CAGCCACCGCUAAACCUGUCGCGGUCUGCU